UCAAGGGAGAGUGAUGGUUGGUCAUUAUUACCCUCCUUGUCCUGAGCCUGAUCUGACGGUGGGACUCACUUCUCAUGCAGACCCAGGGGCUCUUACUGUGGUCUUGCAGGACCACGUUGGUGGGUUGCAGGUUAGAAGCAAAGAUGGCUGGGUUGAUGUGAAGCCUGUUCCGGGAGCUUUGGUUUUCAAUAUUGGAGAUUUGCUUCAGGUUAGAACUCCAAUACCCUCUCUUUCUCUUUUUCAAACAAAUGAUGCCAUCCUUCUAAAGAAAUUUAUUUUGGUUCUUUUCUGAAAACCAGAUUGAAUUGAGUAUAUUUGCGUUGGAAAAUACCGGAAACUAACUUUUAGGGCUUCAAUAUUAGCUGACUUUUAUUUUAUUUUUUAAGUUUAGAGCUUAGCGUUUAUGAUUUAAGAUUUUUUUUUUUUUUUUUUUUUGUGACUGAUUUAAGAUUUUGUUAAGUAUUUAAGAUUUAAUCAUAGCAAAUACACGAGGCUUGGAUACAUAUUGGUUGAAAAUUUGUUAAAGGCAGGGCUAAACAUAAAAAAUUGCAAAUGCCUUAUAGUCCACGGAAGUUCUGGUUUUCGUAUAAGGACCUAGAACUUUGAUGCGGACAAAAAUGUGAUAGUUGUGUUAUAUUAUGCUGAAUUUGGAGGUGAGACUGAGACUCUGAGAGACAGAUUAAGUUUUUGUAUUGUUUUGAUGUAAAAUGUACUGGACUGAGUUAUGUCUUAAUAUUAUGUUUGGUUUAAGAUAAAUAUAGAGAUUGAAGAAUAGAUUUAGAAUUUGAAAAGUUAAAUGAGAAUAUUUUUUAAAAAAAUUGUUAUAAAAAUUUCUGUCUCUGUCUCUAAGAUUAUGUUUGUUUCCUGGGACUAGAAUUGAGAUGGUGGGACUGAGACUUUUCGAAACACAAAAUUUCAGUCAAUACCCCCACAAAGUGCAGACACAGCCUUAAUGUUUUUAUUAGUUAAGCAAUAUUACUUCAAAAAAUAGCCAAAAAUAAUACUUUUUGAAAUCUUCUCAUCAGAACCACUUGCACAAUAUUUAGAUUCUCUGAUAACAAAGUUAAAUGGACUAUCGGAUUAGCCAAUGGACUGAUUGAUGUUGUAAAAUUUGAUCACAUAUUUUUGCGUUAAUUUUGAAAUAUCUCAAUGCUCUUCAAUUCUUGCUUUCCUUGUUACCUGGAUUUCUAAUAUAAUAUCCAUUACUUUGGCUCUCAGAUAAUUUCUAACGAGGAAUAUAAGAGUGCUGAUCAUCGGGUAUUAGCAAAUUGCUCAAAUGAUCCUCGAGUGUCAAUUGCUAUUUUCUUCAAUCCGGGUGAGAGGGAGAAAACCUUUGGACCUUUGCCGGAGCUAACAUCAGCAGAGAAACCACCUCUUUAUAGGAACUUCACAUUCAAUGAAUUUAUUACAAGGUUCUUCAAGAAAGAGUUGGACGGUAAAUCAUUGACAAAUUUCUUCAGGCAGUGAUGUAGACAGCA
RNAcentral lists this long non-coding RNA (1478 nucleotides) under Arachis ipaensis. Its description in RNAcentral is "long non-coding RNA (AIPA_LNC000023)". The record is from RNAcentral. Lineage: Eukaryota; Viridiplantae; Streptophyta; Magnoliopsida; Fabales; Fabaceae.